UCACCUUCCCUCCCUGGGUAAGGAGGCCGGGUUGGGGGGCGGGGGUCGUACCUGCCUGCUCAUCUGGGAUGCCCCCCUCCACCUGCAGCUCUCCAGCCAUGGCCUCAGGGAGCAGGGGCUGUCACCCUGGGCAUGUGGCCGCGUGUUUUCUCUUCUCACUGGGACUUCUCAGAGGAGUGACGUACUGACCAUCCCCUAAUAUUUGGAGACUCUGCCCAGCGGAACGAGCUGUCUCCCCUGCUGUCAGGCCAAAUCAGCAAAAACUUUGCUCAGCAAGACUGUGAGACCUUGGAUCUUCUCAGAAUAGGAUGAGGGGUCAACUUGAGAAGACACGUGCGCUGUUCUGUGAAGAUACUAUACUUCAUCGCCCAGGGGGGAGUGUCCAAGGAGAUUCUGGAAGCUUGAAGUAAACUUUAAAAAGCAAAGAAUUUCCUUUCUCCCCAGCCAAGCCCUGCUUCGAACUGCAACAUGAACAGCUUCAUAGCAGAGGGACUUGGGAGAGCUCUCAGUUGGGGCCUCAUAUAGGGCGGCCUCAAGACUUGUCCUGGCGAUGAUGCUGGGGUUGAUAUGGUCCAGUGAGAAGAGAAUCGGCUCUGGAGUUGGGCCUGGAUUCCAUUCCUGAUUCUGCUGCCUGUCAGCCCAGUGACCCUGGGCAAAGAACUCAACCCCUCUGAGCCCAUUUUUCCAUAUUUGCAAAAUGGACAGUAGUCCCUACUUCACAGGUUGUGGAGGGACCUUAAAGGACAAUAAAUCUCUAGCGUAUGGUUUGGAAGUUAA
Long non-coding RNA from Neofelis nebulosa (Clouded leopard), 777 nucleotides. RefSeq lists it as uncharacterized. The transcript has 2 exons. Lineage: Eukaryota; Metazoa; Chordata; Mammalia; Carnivora; Felidae. The record is from RefSeq and is a predicted model, not a curated record.